GGAGUUAGCCGGUGCUUCUUCUGUGAGUGAUGUCCUUCCUGCCGGCUAUUAACCCGCAGGCCUUCUUCCUCACUGAAAGUGCUUUACAACCCGAAGGCCUUCUUCACACACGCGGCAUGGCUGGAUCAGGGUUGCCCCCAUUGUCCAAUAUUCCCCACUGCUGCCUCCCGUAGGAGUCUGGGCCGUGUCUCAGUCCCAGUGUGGCUGAUCAUCCUCUCAGACCAGCUACGGAUCGUCGCCUUGGUGAGCCGUUACCUCACCAACCAGCUAAUACCGACAUAGGCUCAUCCGAUAGCGCGAGGCCCGAAGGUCCCCCGCUUUCCCCCGUAGGGCGUAUGCGGUAUUAGCCUGGGUUUCCCCAGGUUAUCCCCCACUACCGGGCAGAUUCCUAUGCAUUACUCACCCGUCCGCCGCUCGCCACCAGGGAGCAAGCUCCCCGUGCUGCCGCUCGACUUGCAUGUGUUAGGCCUGCCGCCAGCGUUCAAUCUGACCAAGAUCAAAUUCUGA
This 507-nucleotide ribosomal RNA is filed under the name uncultured bacterium. RNAcentral describes it as "partial 16S ribosomal RNA". The record is from RNAcentral.